UUAACUCAGUUGGUAGAGUGUGCGACUCUUAAUCGUUUAGUCAUGGGUUCGAGCCCCAU
RNAcentral lists this transfer RNA (59 nucleotides) under uncultured Isochrysis. It matches the Rfam family "tRNA", at positions 8 to 63 of the family's 71-position model. From Rfam's summary of the family: Transfer RNA (tRNA) molecules are approximately 80 nucleotides in length. Their secondary structure includes four short double-helical elements and three loops (D, anti-codon, and T loops). The record is from RNAcentral. Lineage: Eukaryota; Haptophyta; Isochrysidales.